RNAcentral lists this ribosomal RNA (525 nucleotides) under uncultured bacterium. Its description in RNAcentral is "partial 16S ribosomal RNA". It matches the Rfam family "Bacterial small subunit ribosomal RNA", at positions 355 to 871 of the family's 1533-position model. The record is from RNAcentral.
UGGGGAAUUUUGGACAAUGGGCGAAAGCCUGAUCCAGCAAUGCCGCGUGUGUGAAGAAGGCCUUCGGGUUGUAAAGCACUUUUGUCCGGAAAGAAAUCCUUGGCUCUAAUACAGUCGGGGGAUGACGGUACCGGAAGAAUAAGCACCGGCUAACUACGUGCCAGCAGCCGCGGUAAUACGUAGGGUGCAAGCGUUAAUCGGAAUUACUGGGCGUAAAGCGUGCGCAGGCGGUUUGCUAAGACCGAUGUGAAAUCCCCGGGCUCAACCUGGGAACUGCUUGGUAACUGGCAGGCUAGAGUAUGGCAGAGGGGGGUAGAAUUCCACGUGUAGCAGUGAAAUGCGUAGAGAUGUGGAGGAAUACCGAUGGCGAAGGCAGCCCCCCUGGGGCCAAAUACUGACGCUCAUGCACGAAAGCGUGGGGAGCAAACAGGAUUAGAUACCCUGGUAGUCCACGCCCUAAACGAUGUCAACUAGUUGUUGGGGAUUCAUUUCCUUAGUAACGUAGCUAACGCGUGAAGUUGACCG